Molecule: ribosomal RNA, 371 nt
Filed under: uncultured organism
Description: bacterial SSU rRNA
Rfam family: Bacterial small subunit ribosomal RNA
Source: RNAcentral
GAGGGUGCGAGCGUUAAUCGGAAUUACGUGGGCGUAAAGCGCGCGUAGGCGGUUUUGUAAGGUCGGAUGUGAAAUCCCCGGGCUUAACCUGGGAACUGCAUUCGAGACUGCAUAACUAGAGUAUUGGAGAGGGCAGUGGAAUUUCCGGUGUAGCGGUGAAAUGCGUAGAUAUCGGAAGGAACAUCAGUGGCGAAAGCGACUGCCUGGCCAAAUACUGACGCUCAUGUGCGAAAGCGUGGGGAGCAAACAGGAUUAGAUACCCUGGUAGUCCACGCCAUAAACGAUGACAACUAGACGUCGGAAGGAUUUGCCUUUCGGUGUCGCAGCUAACGCGUUAAGUUGUCCGCCUGGGGAGUACGGCCGCAAGGUUG